Molecule: long non-coding RNA, 1169 nt
Filed under: Homo sapiens (human)
Lineage: Eukaryota; Metazoa; Chordata; Mammalia; Primates; Hominidae
Description: non-protein coding lnc-ZNF761-5:1
Source: RNAcentral
AGACCAGGAAGCGGAUAGCGUGGAGUGACGGUGCCACCGCGGCGCAGAGGAGUCUGCAAUGCCGAGUGGAGGAAGGAGGAACCGGAGUGUGAGCAGUAGCUGGGUGGGCAGCAUGGCUGGGAUCACCACCAUCGAGGCAGUGAAGCGCAAGAUCCAGGUUCUGCAGCACCAGGCAGAUGAUGCAGAGGAGUGAGCUGAGCACCUCCAGUGAGAAGCUGAGGGAAAAAGGUGGGCCUGGGAACAGGCAGAGGCUGAAGUGGCCUCCGUGAACGGUAGGAUCCAGCUGGUUGAAGAGGAGCUGGACUGUGCUCAGGAGCGCCUGGCCACUGCCCUGCAAAAGCUGGAAGAAGCGGGAAAAGCUGCUGAUGAGAGUGAGAGAGAUACAAAGGUUAUUGAAAUCUGGGCCUUAAAAGAUGAAGAAGAUGGAACUCCAGGAAAUCCAACUCAAAGAAGCUAAGCACAUUGCAGAUGAGGCAGAUGGGAAGUAUGAAGAGGUGGCUCGUAAGUUGGUGAUCAUUGAAGGAGACAUGGGAUGCACAGAGGAACGAGCUGAGCUGGCAGAGUCCCGUUGCUGAGAGAUGGAUGAGCAGAUCAGACUGAUGGACCAGAACCUGAAGUGUCUGAGUGCAGCUGAAGAAAAGUACUCUCAAAAAGAAGACAAAUGUGAGGAAGAGAUGAAGAUUCUUACUGAUAAUCUCAAGGAGGCAGAGACCCAUGCUGAGUUGGCUGAGAGAUCAGUAGCCAAGCUGGAAAAGACAAUUGAUGACUUGGAAGAUAAACUGAAAUGCACCAAAGAGGAACACCUCUGUACACAAAGGAUGCUGGACCAGACUCUGCUUGACCUGAAUGAGAUGUAGAAUGCCCCAGUCCCACCCUGCUGCUGCUCCUUCCUCUGACCCUGACUCCGCCUGAGGCCAGCCUGCCCGAAGCUGACCUUUACCUGAGGGCUGAUCUUCAAUUGGAAGGCUGCUUUCUCCUCUCACCACCCCCUCCUCCCCUGCCUCUUUUUCACCAAACUGUCUCUGCCUCUUCCUGGAGAUUCCAGCUGGGCUAGAGGCUGAGAACCUUUGCAAACAACAUUUAAGGGAAUGUGAGCCCAAUGCAUGUCUUUAAAAAGCAUGUUGUGAUGUAAAAAAAAAAAAAAAAACAUAAUUACUUCUGGAAGAUGC